Non-coding RNA from Peromyscus maniculatus bairdii (prairie deer mouse), 6420 nucleotides. The record is from RefSeq and is a predicted model, not a curated record. NCBI's taxonomy places the organism in Eukaryota, Metazoa, Chordata, Mammalia, Rodentia, Cricetidae.
AGCACCAACAACUUCCUGCUGCUGCUGUGUGCAGAAGGCCAGCAGCGGCUACCCCGGGAGAUGAAACAGUUGCUUCCGAGUGAGGCGUGGUGAGCUGUGCAGCCCUCACCUGAUCCUUAGCGACGCGGGAGCGCCUUGGACUGCGUGGGCAAGGCAGCUUCCUGUCUGAAUGCUCAGCCAGGAGGCGUUGAGCUCACCCGCACCAACAGCCCUGGAACACACAGGCACCCCAAGGAGGUGGAUUGCUAGCUACCUGUCUUCUCCGUGUGGCUCCAGCUCUACGUGUGUGCCACAGUUCCACCCUGGACCUCGUAAACAGUGUCCUUACAGGAAGAGGAUGGUGACACCCAGGCCGUGUGACGGUGGAGACUCCAAAUAGGAGUGACGUAUCUAAUGGGUGAAGAAUGCUGGGGCUCAGGGAUCCUCCGGCCUUCGGCACUGGAGACGGAGGGCUCAUCUGUGGCUUGUAAGUGACAUGGCUGCUUCUCUGGUGCCUUCGCCUCAGACCUCAGCUUCCAGGGCUGACCGACAGAUAGUGCUUUGUGGUUUCCAGACACUCAGCCUGUGGUGCUUUGGGUCCGCACCCUGGCCACUGAGGGAGGAAAGCAGCUUUGCCCCGGCAUCCACUUAGACAGCAUUCACAGGGUCUGAGCCCUCCCUGUCUGUGGCCGGGGUGGUGGUUUGAAUGCGAUGAGUCUCAGGAACUUGAAUACAGCUGGUGCCUGGUUAGGGAGGACAAGCAGGUCUGGCCUUUGCUAGGGAAGCACGUCACUGGAGGUGGGCUUUGAGGUUUCAGGCGCAUGCCAUUCCCAGUGUGCUCUGCGGCGGGAGAGGUUCCAGAUGAGAGCUCGCCGCUGGCCCUGCCGCCAUGCCUUCGGGCGCUGUCACAGAAGCCAACCCUCCUGUAAGGCCAACGAAACACCUUCUUUCAUAAGCUGUCUUGGUCACGGUGUUUUAUCGCAGCAGUAGGAAGUAACCAGCAUGGCCGUUCUGUCCUGGAGAUGUGAGGGUCACGUCGCUGUGCCCUUGGCAAGCUUUCCGUGGACUGGUCACACUGAGGCAGGUUCUGCCUUCCUGUAUGACUGCAUACCUGAGAUCUUGGGAAGAUGCCAGACAUGGGGUCAAGGUGGGUGGAGGGUAGACCAUUCCUGGGACCUUCAGUGAGGUUCAGCCAAACUUCCCUUUCCUGCAGGAUACAGCCCUGCCCCCUCCAGGCCCCGGGAAUGUCUCCCUGUGAAGGUUGAGGGCCAGGGGAGUAAGGCACCCUAAACCAUUCCGGCACGUUUCCAGCCUAUGCUAAAGGCACCAUGCUUGUGGACUCUGCUUACAGCUAGUGUGCACACCUAUCACCCACCUCUUCAAAGCCUGGCGGGAAGAUGGCUUGCAUGGUAGGCUGAGGAAGUGAGUUCAGAUCCCAGCACCCAAGUAAGCAGCUGUGUGGCUGAGCUAGCCUGUGACCAGGGCCAGCGGUUGUGGAGGGGCCACAGAGACAGGAGGAUCACUCGGGCUUGCUGCCACGAGCCUCGCUCCAGGUUCAGUGAGGAACCCUGUCUCAGGUGAGUCCUGUGGAGCAUGAUAAAGCAGGGUAGCCAGUAUCCUCCUUGUACAUGAAUGUGCACACAUCAUGCGCAUAUGUUCAUACACACACUUUUUUCCCCCCAAAAGCUCUAAAAGUAAAAAAACAAAAAACAAAACCCCACCAGCUUUCAACCAGGUGUAGCUGAGGCAGGAGAAUUGCUGAGAGUUCAAGGCCAGUGUGAGCCUCUCAAACACUAACCAAAGGCUGCAAGCGGUGGAUACUCAGUACCGCUCAGCCUGCUCCCUCCCCUCAGCAUACUCAAUAAAUCUGUUUUCUUCUCCCAAAGCAAGCAAACAACAAAAAAAUCCAUCUUUCGUUUCGGGCUCAUCCGAGGAACAGAUUCAACAGGACUAAGUCCCAUUCAUUCGCUGCCUCUGCUCCAGGCACCGGUCCAUUUCAUAAGUCUGUGGAGUAGCACAUUAGUUACCCUCUUGUUCCAGACGAGGCCGCAGCCACUCAGUGGUUAAGGACUUGACCCAAGGUCACCCAGCGGCCAUUGUCCUUGGCUCGAGCCUCAGAGUUUUCCACUCUGCUUGCUUUCUGAUGGGGACCUUUCAGAAAACCCAAACCCUGGAGACUUUUAGACAGCAGGACGUGCCGUGGAUGAAAGCACCGAGGAGCCGAGUCCUCCUGGGGCCGUCUUUGUGCCGGCGAAUUUAGAAAAGUCUCGGUGCUCAGCUCUGGUUCUAUUUUUAUCUCCUCUCAAUUUUCAGUGGCUCAGGCAGGUUCUGAAGACUCUGUCAGCCUCAGUGGGCACCGCUGCACGCAGCGCGGACUCUAUCUACUGUAGCGUGUGAGGUGGGGUGCUAUCCUCAGCUAACUCUACCCUGUCACGUCUCAUUUCUUUCUUUUAAGCCCCCAAACCACCGUCCACUUCCCCCAAAGAAGCCCCCCCCCCCCGAGUUAGAACUGUAGACGGUAGCAGAAGGAAAGUGUCUGGGCGUGAUACCUCUAGUGGGAAGGCCAUGAGAGUCCAUAAGUUAUGGGAACCCCACUCCGGGUGAAGGAGCAUGGGUGUUAAAAUGCCGACAUACCUCUCGAUAGGAAAAGGUGUUUAUAUAAUAAAUGUCUUUGUAGCGUUGCCCACCUCAUGUUGUCAAAUAUAGCCAUGGAGUUGGGGCGAUGACUCAGGGGAUAAAGCACGUGCUGUACAAGCUUGAGGACCCGAGUUCAAAUCCCCAGAAUCCACGUAAGAGCUGGAUGUGGCACAAGUGUGUGUGGUCCCAGCUGGAGACAGGCGGUGGGGACAGGAGACUCCUCGGGACCUUACCAGGUAGCAAGGGGUGAGCAUACCAGAAAAACAGCACAGACCCAUCUCAGACACGGCGGAAGGUGGCCAGAGGUCACCUCUGACCUCUGAUCAUGCUCUAGCCCAAAUCAGUAAAUGCGGUGGAGUGUGGGGCUAAGACAGGAACCUCCAGCUCUGAAUUUCAAUGGACAUUGGACUUUUGAGGUGUCGGGGAAGCGAGUUCACUGCAGCCUGUAUCGGAUUCUGUCUUUGUUAAAUCGGGCUUCUAUUUUUAAUACCGUAUAAUGCACAGGAAGACUUCAAGCGUGGCAUGAACAAUACCCAAUCUUUCCGUGUGAAUGGAUACACAGUGUUCUUCCCACGUUUGUUUGCUCUGUCUCUGUGGGUGCACCUCUUGACGGUCGGCCAGCUACCCACAGUGUUGGGGAGCAAAUGAAGGCUAGAGUUGCCAGAGGUCCAGUCUCCAGGUAAGAGGCCACCACCGAGCUAGAGUGACAGGGUAACAGGACAAAGCAGCUGGGGGUGUGGCUCAGUGGUGAAGGACUUACCUAGCACUAGGGGGAAAAAAGAGCAAAGAAAAUAAUCGAGACUUGACCUAGGUGGGUCUAGCGGACCGCACUGUAACCCCAGCAUUUAGGAAGCCGAGGGAGAAGGCUCGUGAGUCUCAGUCCAACCUGGGCUACAUCGUAAGCCCUACCUCAAAAAACCAAGGGCUGAGGAUAUGGCUCAGAGUGCUUGUGUACAACCCUGGGUUUGAUCCACAGCACUGAAAAGAAAAAGACAAGACAGUGAAAAGGGAGAGUAGAACUUCUGUUUGUUCAACAAUCAUAUAUAUAUAUUAUAUAUAUAUAUAUAAUUUUAUAUAUAGUUAUAUAUAUUCAUAUCUAUAUAUUCACUAAUUGUCCUGGGCAAUGAAUCCCCUCUCUUGCAAAUGCUAAGCGAGGACUCUAUCACAACCACAGCCCAGCAGACAUUUGCCAACCUCUCUGCCGGAUAGUAUGGUCCGUGCCUUUGCGCUCAUUUCCUCUACAGUUAACUUCCCUGACGAGUGACAAGCUCCUUGAGUGGCUCAGAACCCAGCUUCCUUGUCACGGCUCCCCUGACGGCCUGCCCGACUCCGCUAGUCUAAGCCAGCUCCUCCACAUGCACACUGGCCUUGCUAUUGCUCAUGUCCCCUAAUGCACUGCUGGAGAAUUAUUUGUUUACUUGUCUGUCUCAUUCACGACAUCUUUUUAAAUAGUCAAGGGUUGUUUUUAAUUCUUUGUUAUUGUUAUUUUUCGGUGGUUUCCUUUUAUUUUUAUUUUAUGUGUAUGGAUAUUUCACCUACGUGUGUGUCCGUGCAUCGUAUCUGUGUCUGAUGCCCACGGAGGACAUUGGAUGCCCUGGAUUUGGAGUCGCAGAUGGUUGUGAGCCACCAUGUGAGAUGCUUGGGAAUUGAACCUAGGUCUUGUGGAAGAGCAGCCAGUGCUCCUACCGACUGAGCCACCUCUCGGCCCUGUAGAAGAAAUGUAAUGCAGAAAUGGGAAAUGAGUACAGGUCGGGGACGGUCAGGGAGGGUUGGGGAUGAAGAAAGCCGGGAGGAAAGAGACCCAGUGCUGCGUGCCGGGCCAGGUUUGAGAACUGAGCCUUGGUGGCAGUGGUAAUGAGGGAGAGAGCAGAGGCAGACGGGAACUCGCAUGGUUCUCCACCCGUGAUCGCCUGCAGUGUCGGGAAGUCCCGGGCUUGGCUGCAUUGCCUGGCUUAUGAGUUCUGUGGAGAGCUCACCACUCUUUGUCCUGGGCUGCCAGUAGCUGCUACAGGCCGUCGCCCCCUCCUCUGUGCCCCCCUCAGCAAGCACUUCUGGGGACAGAGUGCUUGGCCACGCUGCUUCUUCAGCACAGGUGGGGAGAUGCCCGUGCUUUCAGGGCAGGUGGGCGUCCGGCAGCAUGGUGGAAGAGCAGGGCCUUUCCAGGUGUGAGCUGGCAGCAGCCCCCAGGCUAGGACCCACCCUCCCAGGUGUCACCUGCGAGUGUCACCUGUCCACAGCUGCCUGUGUUCUUGCUGAUGGAGGAAAGAAAGAACGGGGCUCCUAAUUAGCUCUCUGGGUGUUUUCAAAAGUCACAAUUAUGGCCAAUCACAAUGGCCCAUUCCCAUAAUCUCAGCACUCCCCAGGCUGAGGCCGGAAGAUUGCAAGUUCAAAGCCAGCCUGAUCUAUAGACUGAGACUCUGUCUCAAAAAUAAACAAAUAAACAUCUAUCCCAGUGUUUCCUAGCCUUCUAGGUCUGGUUUACUACCCAGAGGUCCUAGCACGUUUGUGGGUCCGCCUGGGGUGCAGGGAAUGUCCCCAGACUUGAGCACUUGCUUGUCUGUUCGGCCUGUCUGAUGUGAACGUUUACACAGAUUAGAAGUAUGCUUGCAUACUCUGUAGGGCCCGGACGGUGAAGUUCCAGAAACAAACAUCCGAGAGCACAGCAUGGAUGCUUCUCCAGUGUCGGGUGUGACUGUGUCGGUCAGCUGGCAUCCUCGUGGUUACCCAGCACCUGGAGUGGGUGGCUGUUUGAGCCAUGCCCUGAAGCACCACCUCUAAUCAGGCCGCUGUGGCCUUUACGCCUGCCUAUGACCUCGAGGUACCUGCCUCUGGGGCGUGACCACCGGGGACCCUUAAGACCUGGGAUUCUCUUGGCUACCUCGAGGUUUUGGAUGCUGAGAUCUUGGACCAAACCAUCCAGUGGGACAUGGCUCAGCUUUCCUGGACCAAACCGUUCAGUGGUUUGGUUUCCCGGACCCUGUGAUAAAUCUCCUGUGGGUGUGAGUUAAAUAAAUUCCUUUGAUCAUUAAAUAGACUCCGUGGAUUUAUCCCAAUAAACACCCUCCCUGAAGAUAGGACCCCAGGAGAGUAAACCUUCUUCUGGAGGUUUUCCCAGACAAACAGACAAAUCCACAGCCUGCUAAACCCCAAGACAGUGUCCUCAAGCCAAGGGGGGCUGCACACAGGCAGGAAGGCUGUGGAGGAGGGCCCCAGAGCUGGAGCAUGCUAGGAACUGAGUCCAAAGGAAGAAAACAUGUAACUGAUGAGGGUGUUGGAGACUGGAGGGGUCUGAAUGAUAUGACAAAAAGGCUGAGGAGUGAUUCUAGCACCCAGAUGGCACACCGGCCUCGAAGCACUGGGAGAUGUAGGGAACCAUGACUGUCUGCUCAGUUUGUGGGUCCUGCUGUAAGCAGGAGGAGGUAAGGGGGGGCACAUUGGUCUGGCCCUGCCCCUGCUCAGCCUGAACUAGGGGCUAGAUGGAAGGGUGGAUUGGAACAGAGGGUCUCAGUCAGAAGAAUGGGGUGCUCUUUAGCAAUGCUCCCUUCUGGAGUGGUCCUACAGGAGGCCGCCUCUGAGGCAUGGCCCAGAUAGGCUUGCAUUGUAAAAGACACCAGUGUCUUUCUGGUCUUCCUGGAUGAACUCACCUCGUCCAUGCUGUUAGCUCUGAAAUGACUGUUUCAGAUGCUGAGAAGCUGAUGCUAGGGCCAGUUUCCUGGAAUCCCGACUAGCCCGGAGCUAGUCUCACAAACCACAGGGAAUCUGGGGCCAAGGAUUCACCUCCUAAACCAGAAUUCACUGCAUAGA